This is a non-coding RNA of Streptococcus macacae NCTC 11558, 98 nucleotides long. Lineage: Bacteria; Bacillati; Bacillota; Bacilli; Lactobacillales; Streptococcaceae. The record is from Rfam.
AGUUCAUUGUUUUAAAUCAAACCUGUUAUGAUUUAAGAUAACGACCGCCAUGCACCACGUUACCUGCUGAGCUGGACUCCGGGUUUCGUGGUUCUUUU